Molecule: ribosomal RNA, 440 nt
Filed under: uncultured bacterium
Lineage: Bacteria
Description: partial 16S ribosomal RNA
Rfam family: Bacterial small subunit ribosomal RNA
Source: RNAcentral
CCUACGGGAGGCAGCAGUGGGGAAUAUUGCUCAAUGGGGGAAACCCUGAAGCAGCAACGCCGCGUGGAGGAUGAAGGUUUUCGGAUUGUAAACCCCUUUUGUUAGGGAAGAUAAUGACGGUACCUAACGAAUAAGCACCGGCUAACUCCGUGCCAGAAGCCGCGGUAAUACGGAGGGUGCAAGCGUUACUCGGAAUUACUGGGCGUAAAGAGCGCGUAGGCGGGAUAGCAAGUCAGCUGUGAAAUGCUAGGGCUUAACCAGAGAACUGCAUUGGAAACUGUUGUUCUUGAGUAUGGGAGAGGUAGGUGGAAUUCUUGGUGUAGGGGUAAAAUCCGUAGAGAUCAAGAGGAAUACUCAUUGCGAAGGCGACCUGCUAGAACGGAACUGACGCUGAUGCGCGAAAGCGUGGGGAGCAAACAGGAUUAGAUACCCUAGUAGUC